Molecule: long non-coding RNA, 814 nt
Filed under: Coturnix japonica (Japanese quail)
Lineage: Eukaryota; Metazoa; Chordata; Aves; Galliformes; Phasianidae
Description: lncRNA (ENSCJPG00005016975.1)
Source: RNAcentral
AUUUUGAAAUUUUUAUUUCAUGGUUCCUUGAGGUUUAUUGACUACAUGCUAUAGAGGAAGGGAUUUGGGGCAUACAAAUAUAGUGUAAACGGUACAAUUGUUUAUCUAAAUAGAAUGUAAAUGUCAUCUUAUUCUGACUGAUGAGAUAAAUUCACUCCACACAUAUAUGUCCUAGUUGAAUCUUUAAUGAUUUCUUAACUACCCCUGCAUAUUCAGAGCCUUUUAAAAUAGGAAAGGAUUUCUUAGGAAGAAAGGUAGAACAAUCAAGCGGAAGUUACCCUGGAAUUCUGAAUGACACAAGGAUAUCCUUUAAAAAGUCAUACAGUGAUUUAGAGCCUUACUUUGAGAGGAGUUAAAGCUAGAUUUAGUUUUUGGUUUUGCUGCAGACAUCCUAUGUGACCUUGGACAUUGCACCAGAGGCACCAAGCCAAUUGGAAACAUAAGACUUUGAGAUUUAACUGGAAUUCAGAUUGUCUGAAUCUGGGCUUUAGCUUCUCUGUGCCUCAGGUCCCUGUCUGUGAAAAGAAGAUAAAUUGACUUCCCUGCUUCACAGUGAUAUUGGACAGACAAAUUCAUCUCAGACUGUAAGCAACCUUUCCACGCCUGUUGUAGAACAAGCAGAAGACAUGGCAAAAUGCUUUACCUUUCAAACAGAGCUCAGUACUGUAGAAGAAGCUAGGGAAAAGUGUUUAGAUUUGUCUUGACGCAAUUUGAGCUUUGCUGUAGCUGAAGAGAGUAAACCUGAACAGCAACUGUGGUUACUGGUAUCUACAAGAUAUGCAAUAAAUGUGAAACUUGAUUAAAAUCUGAUCCA